GCGAAAACUUUACAAUGCUGGCAACAGCGAUAAGGGAACCUCGAGUGCCAGGUUACAAAUCUGGCUGUCGAGAUGCCUAAAAAGCAUUUCAUAGCAAGGGCCGGGCAAGACCGGUGCCAGCCGCCGCGGUAACACCGGCGGCUCGAGUGGUAACCGUUAUUAUUGGGUCUAAAGGGUCUGUAGCCGGCCGGAUAAGUCUCUUGAGAAAUCUGGCAGCUUAACUGUCAGGCUUUCAGGAGAUACUGUCUGGCUCGAGGCCGGGAGAGGUGAGAGGUACUUCAUGGGUAGGGGUUAAAUCUUGGAAUCCUUGAAGGACCGCCGGUGGCGCAGGCGUCUCACCAGAACGGACCUGACGGCAAGGGACGAAAGCUAGGUGCACGAACC
RNAcentral lists this ribosomal RNA (384 nucleotides) under uncultured prokaryote. Its description in RNAcentral is "bacterial SSU rRNA". It matches the Rfam family "Archaeal small subunit ribosomal RNA", at positions 341 to 725 of the family's 1478-position model. The record is from RNAcentral.